Long non-coding RNA from Calliphora vicina (urban bluebottle blowfly), 8996 nucleotides. RefSeq lists it as uncharacterized. The transcript is spliced from 7 exons. The record is from RefSeq and is a predicted model, not a curated record. NCBI's taxonomy places the organism in Eukaryota, Metazoa, Arthropoda, Insecta, Diptera, Calliphoridae.
AUUGGUUUCGGUGAGCAUGGUGACGUACUACUUGUUACUGAGUAAAUCUAAUGCAACUGGUAAUUGUUCCACAACACAAAUGAACAUCUCUGGUCGCAUAUUUCUAGAUAAAAAAACAAAAUAUUAAUUAAAAUAAAAAUCAAAUGGCAAAAUAAAAAAAAAUAUAGUCAUUUAACUAUAGUUUCAUGUAGAAAGUAUUUACUAACCACUCAUAAAUAAAAUUUUGACAAUACGUUUUAUUUAACAGAGUUAGGUAUUCGGACUGAAAUAUUGGGACUAAAACCACCAAAGAAUUUGAAACUAUUGUUUCAAAUCUUUGGCGUGAAAUACCCCCAACGAUUUCCUUUGAAGGUCUUCAACCUCGUAUAGACUAUUACCUACAGGUCGUACAACUCUACAUUUUAAAAAUUUCUUCGCUAGCUUAGCAUUGAAACUGGUCUUAAAGUCGCUCUGCUGGAAAUUGCGACGAUAAACCUCCUGACCAGGUACAAACUUGACUUGCCGGCAGCGUGUAUUAUAGGAUUUCUCAUUCCUUAAGUAGGCUCUAUGCAGAUUGUCACGAAUUUUCUGCCUGAUUAAAUCCAUUUUCACGGAUUUCGGUAUUAUGUUGAAUUCAGGAUCGCUUAGACUUUGUAAUUUCUUAGCCAGUUUAUAGAUACUCCCAUGAGAAACCAUAUUCAUGCCAAAAAGCGCAAAAUAAGGCGUAACACCAAUGGACGUUUGAACAGACGAUCUUAGCGAGAAUUCAAUUUCUGAUAAGUACUUAUCCCAUUCCGUGUGAUCAUGUUGAAGAUAAGAUCUGAUUGCAGACAGAAUGGACUGGUUCACCCGCUCCGAUGCGUUGGCUUGUGGCGAGUGGGUGGCCGUCCGCACAUGUUUCACGCCAAAAUUGUUUACCAUAUCGAUGAAUUCUUUGCUGACGAACUGCUUACCAUUAUCGGACAGAAUUAUCUCCGGUGUUCCAAAUUUAUGAAAAACCUCUGAAAUCAGGAAUUUUAUAACGUUCUUCGUGUUAGCUUUAGCCAUUGCUUUAAGCAGGACAAAUUUUGUAAGAUGGUCUAGGACUAUAAAUAUGAAUGAAUUCCCGUUCUUAGAGCGCGGAUACGGACCCAAAAAAUCUAUAAAAAUCUUUUGGAACAGACGUUCCGUUUGCGUUUCAGCUCCCAUCGGUGGUCUUAAAAUUGCAUUAGUUGGUUUUGUUUCUCGGCAAAUUUGGCAAUUUGCUACGAAGGAACGAACCUGUACGUUCUGGUUUGGCCAAUAGAAGUAUUCUUUUACCCUCCGAAGCGUUUUGCCGAAUCCUCCGUGCUAAGCUUGAGGUGGGUUGUGACACUUCUCAAUAAUCUCGUGUGUCAAUUCAAGUGGUACCCAGAGCUUCCAUGCGAAAUCUUCGUUCAGUGGGACUCCAUCAUAAGGCAAGACUCUUUUAUAGACCAGGUCAUCGAUCACUUUGGCGAUUAAAUCCAGGUAAUGUUGUUCUUUAAAAUAUUCGGAAUCAAAAUUAAUAAUGUUGUUUACCUCCGCAGAAAGCUCUUCCAUGUAAUACCUCGACAAGUUGUCGGGUACUAUAUUUUUAGAACCUGGCCUGUGUUCGACGGUGAAGGCAAAUGCUUGAAGAUGCAAGCUCCAUCUGGCAAGUCGACCGCUCAAGUCUUUGUGGGACAUCAACCAUUUAAGGCUGCUGUGGUCAGUGAUGACUGUAAAAGGCAUCAACUCGAUGUAAGGCCUAAAUUUUUUAAUGGCCAUUACCACAGCCAAACACUCUCUCUCAGUGACCGAAUAGUUUUUCUGGGCGCUGGUCAACUUAUGAGAGAAGAAAGCGAUGGGAUGCUCUCCGUCAUCUUCGUCCUUCUGAAAUAAGACAGCUCCUAAUCCAAUAUCUGAGGCAUCACACUGCACAUAAAAGUGCUUGUUAAAAUUGGGAUGAGUGAGCACUGGUGCUGUUGUAAGGGCUGUUUUCAGUCUAUCGAAAGCUUCUCUGGCCUCAUCGGGAAAAUUGAAAGUUUUUCCUUUCUUAAGGGUGUUGAAGAUAGGAGUAGAAAUCGUCGCGUAGUCUGGGAUGAAGCGCCUGUACCAGCCAGUAGCUCCCAUGAAACUCCUGACCUGCCUAGCGGUUUUCGGGUACCGCAACUCUUUGAAGCAGAACUUCGAUUUCCCUACAUUUAUGGUCAGACCUGCCGAAUCCAAACAAUGCGCCACUCGAUCCAGCAAUUCCAGGUGGGUUUUAAAGUCUGGAGAUACGAUCAAAAGAUCGUCUAGAUAGACAAAGACUCUAUCACGAAGUGCUGAGGGGAUCACUUUAUCCAUCAGACGGCAUAACCUUUGAGCUGCAUUACACAACCCAAAAGGCAUUACCGUAAAAUGGUAAAGUGGUCGUCCUGGCACCGUAAAUGCAGUCUUUUCUCUACUAGAUGCAUCUAGUGGUAUCUGCCAGAACGCGUCUUUAAGAUCUACGCUUGAUAUAAAAUAUGUGUCCCCUAACCGGCUGAGAAGACCUUCGAUGUGCGGCAGAGGAUAGGCGUCCUUAAUCGUGAGGGCAUUCAGCUUACGAGCGUCCAAGCACAAACGGUUCUUCUCGCCCCUACGGACGAGAGUAACCGGAUGGCUCCAAGGACUCUCGCUCUGCUCAAUGACCCCAAGAUUAAGCAUCCUAUCAAGCUCUGCGUACAUCAACUUCUGCACCGGAAUCGCAUCGCGAGUGUCGAUUGUAUGGGAUUCGAGGGAAGUCUGACCAAGUCCCUUCUUUGUAAAACAUGGAAAUUUUGUUACUAUAAUAUCUAAUGACGCCUUCUGACUCGGAGUGAGUACAUGUGUCUUAACAUUAUCAUUCAUUUCUUCGGACUCCGGACAGAGACCGACAUCAUUAGUAGUUAGGCUACACAAAUUGGGAAAUAAACCGAAACUUCUCAUGAAAUCUACCCCUAAAAAUAGUGGUCUAUUUAGAGAUGGCACCAAAUAAAAGGUGAUCUCUUGUGACCUAUUGUUGAAAUUUAUCUGGACCUUUACACGACCUACUAUCUUGUGAGGACUACCAUCAGCUGUCUUAAUGUGUGAAGAAAAGUUCAGAAUUUGUAAGCCUGUGUUCUCAAGGAACUCCAGGCACCCUUUCCCUAAACAUGAGACGGUGGCUCCACUGUCUAAAAGACCUUCUAUGGGCACGCCAUUAAUAGGUACCUUUAAAUAAAAACGGGCGUCUUCACCCUCAUAUAAACAAGCUGACAUAAUUUCAUUCCUAACUCUCUUUCUCAUUUUAUACCUAAUCCUAGCCUUUUUUAUCUUAUCAGAGACCUGCCCAAAAAUUCUAACCCUGGCCUCAUUAUACUCCUUCACUCUUUGAUGGAGUGGCUUAAUUUCACGAAUUUUAGUUUUUUCUACAAUCGGAAUCUGUUUAUUAGGGUUAGUUAAAAUUUGGGUGGGCCUACACACUGUGACUGACUGGUUAACCGGGAUUACGUCUGGGUCGAACGAGUCUCCCCCGUCAGGGACUCGCUCACCACCUGGUUUCCCUGACAUUUUGGGCACUUUGGGGACUACGUUGUCUCGGCCACAUCGAAAGCAAAAUAUACGUCUAUUAGGCGAAGGGCAAUCCACGAAACUAUGGCCUGGCUGCUUGCAAUUCCAGCAAGUAUACCGGCUGUUAUUGGCUAAGGCGUCGAUUUCGAGGAUUGAUACAGGCACUUCAUCUCCCAAUUGGAGUUCAUGGACUCGAGCUGGAACGGGUUGUCUAGACUGGAAAGUCUGCAUCUGACUGUUGAUUAAAUUUUCGGCUCUUUUCGCCUGUUGACAGAACUCAUUGAGACUGGAAGUGGUCACUGAAAAUAGUAAAUGUGACAAUGAUGGCUUUAUAUUACUUUUCAUAAUCUCCACUAGGUCUCGCUCAGUAUAGGGGGUUCGCUGCUGAUUUCUUAGCUUCAUUACCCCAUUAUAAAAACUCUCAAAACUCUCCUGAGGCAACUGGCGUCUGUCCAUAAUUUGCUUCUGCAGCUGGAAUUCGCUUUCAUAACGCUUAAACUGGGUCAGAAAAGCUCUAACCAAAUCUUCCCAGGUCUGUAUUGCUGUGAGCUUACGCAAGUUCCAGUACCAGUCCAGUGCUGGUCCUUCCAGCAAUACAUGAAAGCUUCGUAAAAGCUCAUUGAAGGGACAGCUGUAAUCUUGCCUCAAGACAUCCACUCGGAAAAUGAAAUCCUCCGCACUCAUGGACUUCGUCGACCCAUCAAAUUUUAUGCCCCAUUUGGACAAAUCUACCUUCCGCUGGGUGGAAAAUGGGUGCUCGUUUGGCAAACUAGGAGCUUGUGAAGACUGGGUUGGUGGAAAGACUGGAUUAUAGUUUAGGUUUGGAGGUGGAUACUGCGGCAACUGGUUAGCCGGCUGAGAGGCAUAUGGAAACUGGUUAAUAUUAACAGGUGUUUGUGGUGCCGCUGGCUGUGGAGGUGAUGCUUGCGAAACAGCACGUGAUAUGGCUUGAGAAAGCUCCUGCCGUAUAGCUUGAAUUUGUCUCUGCAUCUCCUCCCGUAUAAAAUUACACAUGUACAACCAUACCAAAACAAAACAUAAGGAAUUGGUGUUGCCAGAGUGGUAGCGGCGCUGGUAUGCUCGCGUUUGCAAGGCUUGGAGCUCGCCGGAUGGGGGUGGUUCUUGCUGCCACACUAGGCAUCUACACACACACAUAAAAAAAAAUUCAUACCAGCUUAAAAUAAAAUGAUAAAAAAAAGGAAGGGGCACCGAGUAGGUUUUUGUCUGUCUCCCUGCUGAAACAUACCUACGACCUAUAAUGGCUGGCAGAUGUUGUGCCAGGUAAAGCCCUCCCACUCGGGAUUGGAUAAUCCCGCCAUGACAUCCUAAUACUAGGGAUGUCCCAAAAUUUACCCUGCAAACUUUUCCUUUCCUUACUUACCGCCGCUUAUUUCGUUUAGCCGAUCAUUUCAAAUGAAAAGAUUCUUAAAAAUUUCAAUUAAACAUUUAAAGCAAAAGAAGUUUUAAUAAAGUUAAUUUAGAAUUUAAUUUAAUUUUACAAAUUUUUAAUUUAAUUAGAAUUUCAAUUUUUAGUUUUAAACAUUAUUUUUUGUUUUAAUAAAAAUUUUUAUAAACAAUUUUCAGCUUUAUUUUUAAUUUUUUUAGUUUUAGAUUUAUGGAUUUGAUUUUAUGUGUAAGAAACUAAUAUUUUGACAAUUUUCUGUUUCGUUUGAGGAUGAACGGGAUGCAAUUCUAGAGCUGGAAGAUUUCUUUUGGCGGAUAAGGCUUUCCUGUCCGUCCGUAUUAGGGUCCGUUCGGGUGAACCAGGUUUUUCUUUCUCUUUUUUUUAUAAAUAUAUAUGCCGAAGGCCACCUACAAUCUUAAACUCACGCGUUACUUUAUCUGAGGCCUGAGCUCAACCCUGUUCGCGCACGUUUGGAAACAAAAAAAACCCCACAAACGGACUGAAAUCGAUUUGAUGAACGAUAAAUAAAAAUUUGGGUGGGCCUACACACUGUGACUGACUGGUUAACCGGGAUUACGUCUGGGUCGAACGAGUCUCCCCCGUCAGGGACUCGCUCACCACCUGGUUUCCCUGACAUUUUGGGCACUUUGGGGACUACGUUGUCUCGGCCACAUCGAAAGCAAAAUAUACGUCUAUUAGGCGAAGGGCAAUCCACGAAACUAUGGCCUGGCUGCUUGCAAUUCCAGCAAGUAUACCGGCUGUUAUUGGCUAAGGCGUCGAUUUCGAGGAUUGAUACAGGCACUUCAUCUCCCAAUUGGAGUUCAUGGACUCGAGCUGGAACGGGUUGUCUAGACUGGAAAGUCUGCAUCUGACUGUUGAUUAAAUUUUCGGCUCUUUUCGCCUGUUGACAGAACUCAUUGAGACUGGAAGUGGUCACUGAAAAUAGUAAAUGUGACAAUGAUGGCUUUAUAUUACUUUUCAUAAUCUCCACUAGGUCUCGCUCAGUAUAGGGGGUUCGCUGCUGAUUUCUUAGCUUCAUUACCCCAUUAUAAAAACUCUCAAAACUCUCCUGAGGCAACUGGCGUCUGUCCAUAAUUUGCUUCUGCAGCUGGAAUUCGCUUUCAUAACGCUUAAACUGGGUCAGAAAAGCUCUAACCAAAUCUUCCCAGGUCUGUAUUGCUGUGAGCUUACGCAAGUUCCAGUACCAGUCCAGUGCUGGUCCUUCCAGCAAUACAUGAAAGCUUCGUAAAAGCUCAUUGAAGGGACAGCUGUAAUCUUGCCUCAAGACAUCCACUCGGAAAAUGAAAUCCUCCGCACUCAUGGACUUCGUCGACCCAUCAAAUUUUAUGCCCCAUUUGGACAAAUCUACCUUCCGCUGGGUGGAAAAUGGGUGCUCGUUUGGCAAACUAGGAGCUUGUGAAGACUGGGUUGGUGGAAAGACUGGAUUAUAGUUUAGGUUUGGAGGUGGAUACUGCGGCAACUGGUUAGCCGGCUGAGAGGCAUAUGGAAACUGGUUAAUAUUAACAGGUGUUUGUGGUGCCGCUGGCUGUGGAGGUGAUGCUUGCGAAACAGCACGUGAUAUGGCUUGAGAAAGCUCCUGCCGUAUAGCUUGAAUUUGUCUCUGCAUCUCCUCCCGUAUAAAAUUACACAUGUACAACCAUACCAAAACAAAACAUAAGGAAUUGGUGUUGCCAGAGUGGUAGCGGCGCUGGUAUGCUCGCGUUUGCAAGGCUUGGAGCUCGCCGGAUGGGGGUGGUUCUUGCUGCCACACUAGGCAUCUACACACACACAUAAAAAAAAAUUCAUACCAGCUUAAAAUAAAAUGAUAAAAAAAAGGAAGGGGCACCGAGUAGGUUUUUGUCUGUCUCCCUGCUGAAACAUACCUACGACCUAUAAUGGCUGGCAGAUGUUGUGCCAGGUAAAGCCCUCCCACUCGGGAUUGGAUAAUCCCGCCAUGACAUCCUAAUACUAGGGAUGUCCCAAAAUUUACCCUGCAAACUUUUCCUUUCCUUACUUACCGCCGCUUAUUUCGUUUAGCCGAUCAUUUCAAAUGAAAAGAUUCUUAAAAAUUUCAAUUAAACAUUUAAAGCAAAAGAAGUUUUAAUAAAGUUAAUUUAGAAUUUAAUUUAAUUUUACAAAUUUUUAAUUUAAUUAGAAUUUCAAUUUUUAGUUUUAAACAUUAUUUUUUGUUUUAAUAAAAAUUUUUAUAAACAAUUUUCAGCUUUAUUUUUAAUUUUUUUAGUUUUAGAUUUAUGGAUUUGAUUUUAUGUGUAAGAAACUAAUAUUUUGACAAUUUUCUGUUUCGUUUGAGGAUGAACGGGAUGCAAUUCUAGAGCUGGAAGAUUUCUUUUGGCGGAUAAGGCUUUCCUGUCCGUCCGUAUUAGGGUCCGUUCGGGUGAACCAGGUUUUUCUUUCUCUUUUUUUUAUAAAUAUAUAUGCCGAAGGCCACCUACAAUCUUAAACUCACGCGUUACUUUAUCUGAGGCCUGAGCUCAACCCUGUUCGCGCACGUUUGGAAACAAAAAAAACCCCACAAACGGACUGAAAUCGAUUUGAUGAACGAUAAAUAAAAAUUUGGGUGGGCCUACACACUGUGACUGACUGGUUAACCGGGAUUACGUCUGGGUCGAACGAGUCUCCCCCGUCAGGGACUCGCUCACCACCUGGUUUCCCUGACAUUUUGGGCACUUUGGGGACUACGUUGUCUCGGCCACAUCGAAAGCAAAAUAUACGUCUAUUAGGCGAAGGGCAAUCCACGAAACUAUGGCCUGGCUGCUUGCAAUUCCAGCAAGUAUACCGGCUGUUAUUGGCUAAGGCGUCGAUUUCGAGGAUUGAUACAGGCACUUCAUCUCCCAAUUGGAGUUCAUGGACUCGAGCUGGAACGGGUUGUCUAGACUGGAAAGUCUGCAUCUGACUGUUGAUUAAAUUUUCGGCUCUUUUCGCCUGUUGACAGAACUCAUUGAGACUGGAAGUGGUCACUGAAAAUAGUAAAUGUGACAAUGAUGGCUUUAUAUUACUUUUCAUAAUCUCCACUAGGUCUCGCUCAGUAUAGGGGGUUCGCUGCUGAUUUCUUAGCUUCAUUACCCCAUUAUAAAAACUCUCAAAACUCUCCUGAGGCAACUGGCGUCUGUCCAUAAUUUGCUUCUGCAGCUGGAAUUCGCUUUCAUAACGCUUAAACUGGGUCAGAAAAGCUCUAACCAAAUCUUCCCAGGUCUGUAUUGCUGUGAGCUUACGCAAGUUCCAGUACCAGUCCAGUGCUGGUCCUUCCAGCAAUACAUGAAAGCUUCGUAAAAGCUCAUUGAAGGGACAGCUGUAAUCUUGCCUCAAGACAUCCACUCGGAAAAUGAAAUCCUCCGCACUCAUGGACUUCGUCGACCCAUCAAAUUUUAUGCCCCAUUUGGACAAAUCUACCUUCCGCUGGGUGGAAAAUGGGUGCUCGUUUGGCAAACUAGGAGCUUGUGAAGACUGGGUUGGUGGAAAGACUGGAUUAUAGUUUAGGUUUGGAGGUGGAUACUGCGGCAACUGGUUAGCCGGCUGAGAGGCAUAUGGAAACUGGUUAAUAUUAACAGGUGUUUGUGGUGCCGCUGGCUGUGGAGGUGAUGCUUGCGAAACAGCACGUGAUAUGGCUUGAGAAAGCUCCUGCCGUAUAGCUUGAAUUUGUCUCUGCAUCUCCUCCCGUAUAAAAUUACACAUGUACAACCAUACCAAAACAAAACAUAAGGAAUUGGUGUUGCCAGAGUGGUAGCGGCGCUGGUAUGCUCGCGUUUGCAAGGCUUGGAGCUCGCCGGAUGGGGGUGGUUCUUGCUGCCACACUAGGCAUCUACACACACACAUAAAAAAAAAUUCAUACCAGCUUAAAAUAAAAUGAUAAAAAAAAGGAAGGGGCACCGAGUAGGUUUUUGUCUGUCUCCCUGCUGAAACAUACCUACGACCUAUAAUGGCUGGCAGAUGUUGUGCCAGGUAAAGCCCUCCCACUCGGGAUUGGAUAAUCCCGCCAUGACAUCCUAAUACUAGGGAUGUCCCAAAAUUUACCCUGCAAACUUUUCCUUUCCUUACUUACCGCCGCUUAUUUCGUUUA